AAUAGAUACCCCGGUAGUCCACGCCGUAAACGAUGAGUGCUAAGUGUUAGGGGGUUUCCGCCCCUUAGUGCUGCAGCUAACGCAUUAAGCACUCCGCCUGGGGAGUACGGUCGCAAGACUGAAACUCAAAGGAAUUGACGGGGGCCCGCACAAGCGGUGGAGCAUGUGGUUUAAUUCGAAGCAACGCAAAGAACCUUACCAGGUCUUGACAUCCCACUGACCGCUAUGGAGACAUAGUUUUCCCUUCGGGGACAGUGGUGACAGGUGGUGCAUGGUUGUCGUCAGCUCGUGUCGUGAGAUGUUGGGUUAAGUCCCGCAACGAGCGCAACCCUUGAUCUUAGUUGCCAUCAUUUAGUUGGGCACUCUAAGGUGACUGCCGGUGACAAACCGGAGGAAGGUGGGGAUGACGUCAAAUCAUCAUGCCCCUUAUGACCUGGGCUACACACGUGCUACAAUGGACGGUACAAACGGUUGCCAACCCGCGAGGGGGAGCUAAUCCGAUAAAACCGUUCUCAGUUCGGAUUGUAGGCUGCAACUCGCCUAC
RNAcentral lists this ribosomal RNA (544 nucleotides) under uncultured bacterium. RNAcentral describes it as "bacterial SSU rRNA". It matches the Rfam family "Bacterial small subunit ribosomal RNA", at positions 777 to 1319 of the family's 1533-position model. The record is from RNAcentral.